RNAcentral lists this ribosomal RNA (529 nucleotides) under Parantica aglea (glassy tiger). RNAcentral describes it as "partial 16S ribosomal RNA". The stretch from base 393 to 529 matches the Rfam family "Bacterial large subunit ribosomal RNA", at positions 2473 to 2610 of the family's 2925-position model. The record is from RNAcentral. Lineage: Eukaryota; Metazoa; Arthropoda; Insecta; Lepidoptera; Nymphalidae.
AAAACAUGUNUUUUUGAAAAUAAUUUAAGGUUUAAUCUGCCCACUGAUGAAAAUUGAAGGGCUGCAGUAUAUUGACUGUACAAAGGUAGCAUAAUCAAUAGUCUUUUAAUUGAAGACUUGUAUGAAUGAUUUGAUGAAAUAUAAACUGUCUCUGAUUUAAAUAUAGAAUUUAAUUUUUUAGUCAAAAAGCUAAAAUGAUUUUAAAAGACGAGAAGACCCUAUAGAGUUUUAUAUUUAAAUUAUUUAAUAUUUUAUAUAUAAAUUAUAAUAAAAAUUAAUUAAAAUAUUUUAUUGGGGUGAUAGAAAAAUUUAAGAAACUUUUUUUAAAAAAAAUCAUAAAUAAAUGAAAUAAUGAUCCAUAAUUAAUGAUUAAAAGAAAAAAUUACCUUAGGGAUAACAGCGUAAUUUUUUUUUUUAGUUCAAAUAAGAAAAAGAGAUUGCGACCUCGAUGUUGGAUUAAGAUAAAAUUUAAAUGCAAAAGUUUAAAAUUUUGAUCUGUUCGAUCAUUAAAAUCUUACAUGAUCUGAGC